AUUCUUCCAUGUAGAGAACAUUGCAUUGAUAUAUUCACUGAGGCUUGCUGAACAAACAAUGGAUGUGAGCACCAUGAGGCGGUGGGUGGUGCAUUUCAGCAGUGGUCACAGAAAAAGUGGGCAACCUCUGCUCAUGUAGAUUCUUAUGAGUGUGGCAUGUAAACUCUUUUUCAUCACUGGCAAAAAUGCAUAGCUAAUGGUGGUGACUGUGUUGAAGAAUAGUGUUUUGUAGCUGAGAAUUUGCUCUAUCAAAUAGUGUUAUUGUUCUCUUUGUAUCUGCUGUUGUUUCUAUGGAAAUAAAUAGGAGGCAUUACUUUUGGAGCAACAGUCAUAUUUUUGCAUCUAGAAUACCCAUAAUGGUUUCCAUAAUGUCAUCCCUCAGGAGGUGAAGGUUUGAGGUUUGCGUCCUGUAUGUCCAGGUAUUUGUUUGCAGUACUUCAGUCAUCAAAACUUUCAGUCUCCUGGAAAGGGUCAUGGACUUCUAGGAGAGAGAAUGCUGAACCAAGAGUGAUGGAACCAGCUUAUUUCCAAUUUUGUAAGGAAACUGGUACAGCUACACUUUCUUCUGUAUAAUUAGGCCAAGAGAGGUUAUUUAAGUAGUUCAUACGUUUCUCUUCUCAAAUAUGGAAAUGAUCAUUUUGAAUUUUUGCUCUCCGUUCAGUUGGCUGUAGGAAUAGCUUUUAUAAUUUAUAAAAUUCAUGUCACUUCAGAAUUUCCUUUAUUCCUAGGAGAAUAAGUACCUCCAGAUUUUCCUUAGAACUUGUACUACUGAAACUAAUUCUUCAACACUCCUAAACCCCAACAUGCAAAUAUAGUCUCAUACUUUUAAAUACUUACAUAUAUUUUCCACUGCAUCCAGUAAUUCAGAUAGCCCUCUCUAUGUUGUUUGUUUUCUUUCAAGAAAAUCUACUUUGGGUUACAGUGUUUGUGGAAUAUCAUUCCUUAUAUUUCUAAACAGGAAAAUAAUAAUUACAUUAUAACUUUACAGUGGAAUGAAUAAGUGUGAGACAUAGCAGUCAGAUGUUUGUUUCAGUUGUGGUCUGUAUAGCCUUCAGUCCUCUAUUCAAACUGUAUUUUUUACUUACUGUGCACUUCCACAUUAUACUGUCAGAACUGGAUCUUCUACAUGUACAUGUGUAGUCUGAAAAUAACAGAAAGUUUAAAAUUUUUCAUCAGAAUGGUGUAAGCAGAAUAGAUUGCACUGUUCUUCAGUAGUACUGUCCAACAGAUCACACAUUUAUUUUUAUUGUCUUUAUUCUGCAGAGCUCAAGCCUCUUCUUGUAUCUUUUUGAUUAACACCAAUCAGGAAAUCCAGUUCUGUUUCCUGUUUUUAUAUCCAUACUGUGUAUUGUUCAAUUUAUGAAAAAUAGUCUCUGUAAUAGUCUCUGUAAUACUGUAUCAGACAAUAAAACAAUUUGCAUUGUACA
This 1427-nucleotide long non-coding RNA is filed under the name Numida meleagris (helmeted guineafowl). RNAcentral describes it as "lncRNA (ENSNMEG00000014537.1)". Lineage: Eukaryota; Metazoa; Chordata; Aves; Galliformes; Numididae. The record is from RNAcentral.